GAAUGCUGACAUAAGUAACGAUAAAGCGGGUGAAAAGCCCGCUCGCCGGAAGACCAAGGGUUCCUGUCCAACGUUAAUCGGGGCAGGGUGAGUCGACCCCUAAGGCGAGGCCGAAAGGCGUAGUCGAUGGGAAACGGGUUAAUAUUCCCGUACUUGGUGUUACUGCGAAGGGGGGACGGAGAAGGCUAUGUUGGCCGGGCGACGGUUGUCCCGGUUUAAGCGUGUAGGUGUGUGUUCCAGGUAAAUCCGGUUCACUUUAACACUGAGGCGUGAUGACGAGGCACUACGGUGCUGAAGCAACAAAUGCCCUGCUUCCAGGAAAAGCCUCUAAGCAUCAGGUAACAUCAAAUCGUACCCCAAACCGACACAGGUGGUCAGGUAGAGAAUACCAAGGCGCUUGAGAGAACUCGGGUGAAGGAACUAGGCAAAAUGGUGCCGUAACUUCGGGAGAAGGCACGCUGACACGUAGGUGAAGUGAUUUACUCAUGGAGCUGAAGUCAGUCGAAGAUACCAGCUGGCUGCAACUGUUUAUUAAAAACACAGCACUGUGCAAACACGAAAGUGGACGUAUACGGUGUGACGCCUGCCCGGUGCCGGAAGGUUAAUUGAUGGGGUCAGCGCAAGCGAAGCUCCUGAUCGAAGCCCCGGUAAACGGCGGCCGUAACUAUAACGGUCCUAAGGUAGCGAAAUUCCUUGUCGGGUAAGUUCCGACCUGCACGAAUGGCGUAAUGAUGGCCAGGCUGUCUCCACCCGAGACUCAGUGAAAUUGAACUCGCUGUGAAGAUGCAGUGUACCCGCGGCAAGACGGAAAGACCCCGUGAACCUUUACUAUAGCUUGACACUGAACAUUGAGCCUUGAUGUGUAGGAUAGGUGGGAGGCUUUGAAGUGUGGACGCCAGUCUGCAUGGAGCCGACCUUGAAAUACCACCCUUUAAUGUUUGAUGUUCUAACGUGGACCCGUGAUCCGGGUUGCGGACAGUGUCUGGUGGGUAGUUUGACUGGGGCGGUCUCCUCCUAAAGAGUAACGGAGGAGCACGAAGGUUGGCUAAUCCUGGUCGGACAUCAGGAGGUUAGUGCAAUGGCAUAAGCCAGCUUGACUGCGAGCGUGACGGCGCGAGCAGGUGCGAAAGCAGGUCAUAGUGAUCCGGUGGUUCUGAAUGGAAGGGCCAUCGCUCAACGGAUAAAAGGUACUCCGGGGAUAACAGGCUGAUACCGCCCAAGAGUUCAUAUCGACGGCGGUGUUUGGCACCUCGAUGUCGGCUCAUCACAUCCUGGGGCUGAAGUAGGUCCCAAGGGUAUGGCUGUUCGCCAUUUAAAGUGGUACGCGAGCUGGGUUUAGAACGUCGUGAGACAGUUCGGUCCCUAUCUGCCGUGGGCGCUGGAGAACUGAGGGGGGCUGCUCCUAGUACGAGAGGACCGGAGUGGACGCAUCACUGGUGUUCGGGUUGUCAUGCCAAUGGCACUGCCCGGUAGCUAAAUGCGGAAGAGAUAAGUGCUGAAAGCAUCUAAGCACGAAACUUGCCCCGAGAUGAGUUCUCCCUGAGACUUUAGGUCUCCUGAAGGAACGUUGAAGACG
This 1576-nucleotide ribosomal RNA is filed under the name Salmonella enterica subsp. enterica serovar Chester. RNAcentral's name for it is "partial 23S ribosomal RNA". It matches the Rfam family "Bacterial large subunit ribosomal RNA", at positions 1292 to 2846 of the family's 2925-position model. Lineage: Bacteria; Pseudomonadati; Pseudomonadota; Gammaproteobacteria; Enterobacterales; Enterobacteriaceae. The record is from RNAcentral.